Molecule: long non-coding RNA, 504 nt
Filed under: Anas platyrhynchos platyrhynchos (common mallard)
Lineage: Eukaryota; Metazoa; Chordata; Aves; Anseriformes; Anatidae
Description: lncRNA (ENSAPLG00000029713.1)
Source: RNAcentral
AGGUACUGGGAUGUUACUGGGGUGAUACUGGUGGUUACUGGGAGUUACUGGGAGCUACUGGGAUGUAUCAAAGGAGCACUUGGGGGGCGGGGGGAGCUCCUGAGAGGCACCGGGAGCUCCUGGGGGGGCACUGGGGUGAUACUGGGAGUUACUGGGGUCAUACUGGGAGUUACUGGGAUGUUACUGGGCGGGUUACUGGUGGUUACUGGUGGUUACUGGUCGUUACUGGGCACCCACCAUGGCUCGGGUGAGGCACUGCCUCCAGCGGCAUUUCUGCCUGCGGCGGUUGCGGCCCCCGAAGCGGGGUUUGUCCCGGCAGAAGUCGCAGCGCCCGCAGUCGGCGGCUCGCAGGCAGGGGGGGCACGACCCGCAGCGACGGCCACGCUGGGUUAUAGGGUCACGGGGUCAGUUAUAGGGUCAGGGGUCACUUAUAGGGUCACUUAUAGGGUCAGGGGGUCACUUAUAGGGUCACGGGGUCAGUUAUAGGGUCACUUAUAGGGUCAG